Molecule: small nuclear RNA, 192 nt
Organism: Manis javanica (Malayan pangolin)
Lineage: Eukaryota; Metazoa; Chordata; Mammalia; Pholidota; Manidae
Product: U2 spliceosomal RNA
Source: RefSeq, a predicted model, not a curated record
AUCGCUUCUUGACCUUUUGGCUAAGAUCAAGUGUAGUAUCUCUUCUUAUAAGUUUAAUAUCUGAUACGUCCUCUAUCCGAGGACAAUAUAUUAAAUGGAUUUUUGGAGCAGGGAGAUGGAAUUAGGAGCUUGCUCCGUCCACUCCAUGCAUCGACCUGGUUUUGCAGUACUUCCGGGAACGGUGCACCUAAA